UGGUCAGACGUUAGAUUGGUGGGGAACUUGAUCUGAAACCUGAUCUUCAGAUCCCCUUUCUUAGACGGUUCCUUUGUGAUUGGCAUCCCUUCGCCCUUCACAACCUCUUCAGAAGUAGGAUUGAUGACGGACUUCACUGGAACGGUUAAAUUCCGCCCAUCCAGAGUUGUCAGUUGGACUGUGCAACCGGUCAAAGCCUCCACGAGCGAGAUCCUAUGCGUGUAAAUAAGAUCAUCCUUGUCUCGCUUGAAUCUAGCGUGCGACCGCUCUUCUAUUAUAAACACUAGGUCUGAUGGUAUGAUGUUAGGCUUCUCAUUGCCUUUCUUGGGAAAGGUUACCUUUGUACCCUUCUUCCAUCCAGGCUUGAUAUCGAUUGUCAGGAUCUCCUCCAGAUUUGUCGGUUUCCUGCACAAAAACAUAGAAACAUUUUAAAAAUCUGUCUCACCCAGUGGCGUCGAGGACAUCCCUAGAGAUCUUCAUCUUCUUGGUGGCGCCCCUGUAGAGGUCCUCAAGGCUGCAAGCCAGCUGCCGCUCGAUCGCCGGAGCUUUCGUCGCCGACGUCUCCCCUGCCCGGGGGGACCCACCGAACCCCGGGAACCCGGCGCCGGGGGCGCGUGGCCCCGCGCCGCCGAAUGCGCCCCCGAACAUCUCCGAGAAGAUCUCCUCGGCGCUCCUCGGGCUGAAGCGGAAGCCUCCUCCGCCGCCGUGGGAGGAGGAGGAGGAGGUGGUCGGCGGCGGCGCCGCGCCGGCCUUGAGGCCUUCCUCGCCGAACUGGUCGUAGAUGGCGCGCUUCUGCGGGUGUACGGACGUCGUAGGCCUCGGAGACUUGCUUGAAGAGGGAGUCGUCGGCGUGCGGCGAGCGGUUCUUGUCGGGGUGGUGCUUCAUGGCGAGGCGGCGGUAGGAUCUCUUGAGCUCCUCGUCGGUGGCGCCGCGGCCCACGCCGAGCACCUUGUAGUAGUCCAGCCCCAUC
This 971-nucleotide small RNA is filed under the name Oryza sativa Japonica Group (Japanese rice). RNAcentral describes it as "sRNA Os05g0127450". Lineage: Eukaryota; Viridiplantae; Streptophyta; Magnoliopsida; Poales; Poaceae. The record is from RNAcentral.